RNAcentral lists this long non-coding RNA (5987 nucleotides) under Sus scrofa (pig). RNAcentral's name for it is "lncRNA (ENSSSCG00040018737.1)". The record is from RNAcentral. Lineage: Eukaryota; Metazoa; Chordata; Mammalia; Artiodactyla; Suidae.
AAGCAAUAAAAAUUGCAAUAAUGACUGUUCUUAAUGCUCUUACUGUGUAGAAAUAUUUACGUAGUCAUAUUAUGUCAAAUGAACUAUAGUAUGUAUUUUCCUCCCAAAGAACAAUAUGUAGAUAUCCUUCCCAAAUAAUGCCUUAUCAUUAAGUUUCCAACUGUUUUCCUUCACUCAGAGUUUUGGUUCUGAUAAAUAUUUCCCUUGCACUUGAAAAAGUGCUCUGGAUUGUAUCAACAUGUCAGUUACAAACCACUUCUUAUUUCUGAUUUUUCUUGGGGGAGGAUAGUGGAAUCAUAUAAACCCCAAAAAAUCAGAUCACCCAAGUCAACAAGAGGGGAUUAUUAGGGAUUCAAUGUUAUUGUGGCAAAUAUUUCCAGAGUCUGUCCGGAAUAUUCUUCCUCUCUACUUUCCAGCCCCAUUCUUCAUUCUUGAACUUGCAAAUCUUUAUUUAUAUUUUAAAACAAUACAACCAUUCUGUUUCUCUGUAGUGUCUGCCCUGUGUCACUGAGGUGGAGGUGUAUUGGUCGCCUCUUCAGUAGUACAUUCAACACAUUGUUUUGUUGACAUCUAUUUGCAUAUUUGUCUGUUUCUCUAAACUGUGAGCACUUUGAGUGUCUUUUCAAAAUAUAUGGCACAUCUGCUAAAAGUAAAACAAAAAUCCAGCUUAAUUAAAUCUUUUGAUCUUAAUUGCUUUUGUUAGCCUGUGCAAUAAUACUUGUAAAUAGCAAGGAAUAAAACUGAAGUUAAAUCCGUGUUAACAGAUGGACUGAGCUGUGUACAAGUUAAGGAUGCCAUUUAUGACCUUCAUGCUAAAUUUGAAGAACAAUCAACACUUAAUAUUUCUUUUCGUUAUUUCUUGGUAAUAUUUCUAGAAGUAGUUUUUAAUGCGUUUCUGUAUAUGACUUAGCAUGUGGAAAUGAAAAGGAGUUGAACUCAUUAUUAGCAUUUUUAAAUUUUGAUAGGUAUUUUUUGGAAUGAAAUGAGGCAAGAUAUUAGAAUCCCAUUUAAAACUCCUCUAAUACUCUUUAGCCUAUGACAGUUUAUCUGUCAUAUCACAUGUAGUUUUAUUUACAUAACAGUGUUUACUUGGUCCAGAAAUAACCUCAGGUAUUACUUCUAACCUGAUAGGUGUCAGGACUGACUGCAGAGAAUUCUUCCACUUGGAACCUUCAGGGAUAGUGCAGUCUAUCAUUGAUAAGGCAGGGUAUUUAUACCAUAUUGUUAUUGUCGUUGUUAAAGAUAAACAAAAAGUCAUUUGUAAAUGUGCUCAAGUUUCUAGAUGUGAGAGGGUUCUACAGGAAUUAUCUUUUAUCAGUAUUCAAUAAGCUUGAACUACACAGAAUUGCUAAGUGUUUGUUCCUCAGACUCCAUUUUCAGAGCGGGUAGUAGUAAUCUUAGCUGAUAUGCUGUAUGUUUUACAAACGAAUACUUACAGCAAACCAAGCCAAUGAUAGCUUUCUGUUAAGUCAAUCAGUGCUGUCUGUCUUCAAAAUAAAGCUUGAUGGGUCUGUUCUCAACAUCUGUGGUGAUUCAUAGCACACAUUCUGUUCCUUUAAGCCCUAUGAUUAGUAACAAGAGACUUUUCUAUUGUCAUGUAACAAUAUAGGAGUUUAUGUAAAUUCUGAAGCAUGAAAAAGAACAAACUUACAAUUUGUGUUUUUAAAGGCACCUUGGACACACUCACCAUUCAGCAUGGAUGAGGUUCGUGGAAAAGAUUGGAGAAAAACUGAAUCUGUUAAUCUUCUUAAGUCAAUGCCUAAGAUAUGUUUAGCAUAAGUACGCUAAACAGAUACUUUCUUUGAUGCUUUCCAGUAAGAUAGAUGAUAAGAUAUUUGAUUUUGAUUGAAAAACAGAAAUUUAAACUUGACACAGAGUAUGCUACUGAAGGUUGAAUUGAACUUAAAAAAAAGCUAUGAGAGUGUUGCCGACACUUUGUCCACCAGUGCUGAAUAGAAACGUGAGACAGAAUUUUAGGCGAAGAAGAAAAAGAUAGCUUUUAUUGCUUUGCCAGGCAAAGGAGGCCACAGCAGGCUAAUGCCUUAGAGACUGUACCCUCCACUGGGAAGAACUGCAGAGAGUUUGUUAUAGUAAAAAGGAGAAGAAAGGUUUUCAGAUAGGAAUCAGGAUUGGGACAGACAUGCAUUCUUCUUUCUUUGGGGAAAUCUUGGUCAUCAAAGCUGAACUCAGGAGAUCUUGGCAUGAUCAUGACGGUGGUCUUCUGGGUUAUUGCCCAGAAUAACAGUACUUGUGGAAAGGGCAUAUUGAUCGGAGAUGAGAGCAAACGAGGAAUGUUUCUACAAAACGCCAUGUCCUCGUAAUCUUUCACCCACAGGCAGUUGCGCCCAGGGUGCCUAGUCUCUAGUUUACGGGUGAUUGUGUUUAGGGUGCAGUUACGUGGGGGAGGAGGACAAGGAAGGACUCUAAACUGUUCAGUUUUAAAGUAUUUAUUUCGAAAAGAAGCAUAAGGAACAUAGCUUUUCUCUUAGGUGUAUAAGAUCAUUAUUUUGUGCAUCAUUCUGUGCAUCCCUUGUGAAGGAACCAGUGUCCUGCCCCAAGGCUAUGCUGUUGUUUUUUGAUUCUUCCUCCCUUGUCUUUGCAUUCCCCUCCUUCCCUGAUCAGCAACUGUCUGAACCUGUCCCUUGGAACUCAGGGAAGGCUGCCGUGGCUGAAUGUGGCACAUUUCCCAAGAACUCAAGAAGUGGAGGACACAGAAAGCCUUUUGUGCCCAGGAGCUCCACAGAGCCCUGCUAGUUUCUUUCUCCUCCUCCUUCUCCACUUUUUUUUUCUUUCCUCUUUCUCCUUGUUUCAAUUUGUCUGCUUUCUAUGUCCUAACCUGGCAAAAUAAAAAAAAUUUACACUCAUAUCAGGACAUAACCUUGAAUGAAUUAUUUACCUUCUCAGAGCUUGAGUGAGAUCACUGGCAAAUUGGGACCAUAGUGGCACUCAUUUAUAGCAGAGACACAUAUUGAGUUUAUUCAUAUCAGAACUGACUCUUGUCUUCUUCCCAACCCACACCGUUAACUUAAUCAUGUCUUCAAACCUAUGUUCUCUUGUAAGGUAACAAACUCACAGGUUCCAGGGAUUAGGGCAUGGACGUCUUUGGGGAGCUGUUAUUCAGCUUACUACACUCAGGAUUAUCUUGCACUCAGAUGUCUCAAAAAUAAAAUUGAGACAUAUUUAGGAUAGAAAAACACAUUUAGGGUAACAAUAAAGACUAAACAUGAACAUUCUCUGAAAUAUAUGUAAUGUCACACAGAUGAGUCAAAGAACAUACCCCCUUGUGUCCCCUCUUACAUGUUGGAUGUAUGCAAGGCAAAUAUCUAGGGCUUGCCCCAAAAUAACAUGUGAUGCAGUUUUUUUUAAUAUAAGAUCUUUACUAACUUGAUACUUCUGUUGAACAAAUUGGUUAGUCUUUACACACUGUUAAAGUAAUACUUCUUAUGUCUCUGUACUUAAUGUACUUUAGGGUAAAAUCAUUAUACUGAAAAGCAAGAAGUACAUCAAAAAGUAGUAUCCCUUUCCAAGUACUGUUUUGGAAAAAUAUGUAAACUGAACAGUUGUUAAGGUAUAGUCUCUAUAAAUUGGGACGUUUAUGUUAACUAUCCCAAAAUGUUAUAUUUAGUGCAAGAGCAAUCCAAAUACUCUUGGGAGAAACCAUACUGAUACUCACAUCGAGCAUUUUAAAGUACUUAAAUAUAUUUUCAAAUCACUGUUGCAUCUGUGAUCUCCAUUUACGCCUACAUCAUCUUGAAGAGUUUUAGAGACGAAUCCUAGAGAUGAAAGCCUUUUUCUCCACAAAUCAGUUCCUUUCCAACCCAUAUGACUUUCUUAGCAAAAACUAAUCUCAGAGGCCCUUCUCACCAGUCCUGGCUGACUAUGCUCUAUUUUUCAUGACUCCAUCCCUUCCUGUUCUUUACUUAUAACUGGUGAGACCAAAGGGAGAAACAUGACCUAAGUUGGACAAUUAAUUCUAUUUUCUCUCUCGGGAACUUGAAGUUUGGAAAGACUUGUUCAUUUAGCUGUGGAUAUGAGAUUUGUAAAGAUAGAUGAAUGAGAAUGGUCAUAUCUGUGCCAUGUGCUUGUAAAUAAACUUGUGGAACCAAGAAGGAGGGAGAAAGAAAAAAAAUCAGACCGGAAAGAAGCCAAAAUGAGACAUUUGUCUAUAGAGAGAAAAGCGGAAAGUAAAUGCCUUGGUUCCUAAGGGUUUUACUUCCUGGUUCUAGUUUCUCAGUUCUUGCUGCAUUUCACUCCAUUGGGUUCUGUGAGGUACCGUGUAGUCUUCCAAUAAAUUUAUUUAUUUUGUAUGAAGAUUCAAGUUAUUUGCAUUCUGCCAGCUCCGGACUGCUAUACAAGGGAAAUCUAAAGCAUGGACAGGUCAAGGAUUUGGAAUGUACAAAAGCAAGUUAUCAGAAGAGCUAGGAGUGGACCGGGCUCGAGGGUUCUGUCUUUGAAUUCCAUGCCAAGGAAUCAGUGGGCAAAACUAGGGCCAGGGAAAACUAAUCCCUCUGAGCAGCCAUCAGAACACUUACCUAAGGGCUCUAGGUUUCCUUGAGAAUUCUGUGAGUGGUCUUUAAUUUUCUAUAAACAUUUUCUCACAUGUUAGUAUUUGGUACUUGAGGUUUUCAUGUUUUUGCUUCCCGAGCCAAAGUCUCUUGUGGAAGUUAAAUUUGUAAUCAGACGUGGAGAUGGCUUCCCUACCUUAAGUGUUUAAAGUGCAUACAUUCCUAGAAUUAGCAAAUUGGGCAAAUGAAUGUCAUAAAUUUUAACAUCACUACCAUAACAUAAAAGUUGUACUGGUAUAAAUGCCAUAUAAGUCUGUUGAUGUACCAUAAAUUCUGGAGGUUUAAGUACACUAAAAGUAAUUUAUUUUCAUUUAUGAAACAGUUUUCUUUUCUUUAAUAUGCAUCCCUGAGGUUUUUCCAUAUUAAAAUGAAUAUUAAAGCAAAGCAAAGUUCAAUUCUAUUUUCCUGCCAAUUAGCUAUGAAAAUAAACUCUACUGUAUCUAAUUAAAAAAAUAUGAUUACCAUUCGAACUACUAUUUUGAAAAUUUAAAAGUGGUUUUGAAAAUAAAACUGCAAUUAAAAUCUGACAAAUAGUUACCCAGAACAAUAAUUUAUUCAAAAGUAAUUUUUAGGAUUAACUUGAAACUUUUUUUUUUUUAAUGGCCACGCCCAAACACAUGGGAGUUUCCAGGCUAGGGACUGAAUCUGAGCUGCAACUAUAACCUACCCCAAAGCUGUGGCAGUGCCCAAGCCACUGUGCUGGGCCAGGGAUCAAACCUGCACCUCUGCAGGAAUGAGCCCCGGCAGCUGGAUUCUUAACCCACCCACUGUCCACAGCAGGAACUCUGAAACUUGUUUUUAAAAGCGAAAAUUAUGGUCAUUCAUUAAGCGAAGUUUGGUCAUUUUUUCUCUGGAAUUAGAAGUUUAAAAAAUUAUUUUCACUUUUUUGCAAUUGUCAGUUGAGUUAGGCUGGCUCCUCAUUCAGAAUAAUACUCUUUUUCAAUUGCAUAACAGAUCUGUCUUAUUCAUUCAUGGAACUAAAGAUACGCAUGUGCCCACUCCCACUCGCCUCCCACAUACAUGUAUAGAUCAAUGUAAAGGUAUAUAUAACUAUAUUUUUAAUGAAAUUCGAACAUAAUAUGAUUUGACAUUAGAAUGUUUUUAAGUAUUGAGAGAAUUUUUGUUUAUGUCUUCUGUCUUGCUUUCAAAUCAUUUUACAAAAUAACAUCUAAUGAGGUUUUUUUCUUUUACUGUAAUAUAGUGAAGUUUUAUGAGGAAAAAUAUUUCACAUAAUUUUAUUUCUUAGGUAAGCCUAUGACAUGGAAAAGAAAAGCAAUUUAAAUGUAUGGCCCAAACCUUUGUACACAGUUCAGAAAGCAUUGAUUUAUUUAAAACACAAAAGAAGAUUUGGACCUAGCCAUGGUUUGCCAAAGUAUAACUAACAGAGAUAGAAACAAAACCUACAUAUGAGUGUAAAAGAAG